GACGAACGCUGGCGGCGUGCUUAACACAUGCAAGUCGAACGGAAAGGCCCUGCUUUUGUGGGGUUCUCGAGUGGCGAACGGGUGAGUAACACGUGAGUAACCUGCCCUUGACUUUGGGAUAACUUCAGGAAACUGGGGCUAAUACCGGAUAGGAGCUCCUGCUGCAUGGUGUGGGUUGGAAAGUUUCGGCUGUUGGGGCUCGACUCGCGGCUUAUCAGCUUGUUGGUGGGGUAGUGGCUUACCAAGGCUUUGACGGGUAGCCGGCCUGAGAGGGUGACCGGCCACAUUGGGACUGAGAUACGGCGCAGAAUCCAACGGGAGGCAGCAGUGGGGAAUAUUGCACAAUGGGGGGAAGCCUGAUGCAGAAACGCCGCGUGCGGGAUGACGGCCUUCGGGUUGUAAACCGCUUUGGACUGUGACGAAGCGUGAGUGACGGUAAUGGGUAAAGAAGCAACGGCUAACUACGUG
RNAcentral lists this ribosomal RNA (468 nucleotides) under uncultured bacterium. RNAcentral describes it as "partial 16S ribosomal RNA". It matches the Rfam family "Bacterial small subunit ribosomal RNA", at positions 28 to 507 of the family's 1533-position model. The record is from RNAcentral.